RNAcentral lists this ribosomal RNA (253 nucleotides) under uncultured prokaryote. RNAcentral describes it as "partial 16S ribosomal RNA". It matches the Rfam family "Bacterial small subunit ribosomal RNA", at positions 525 to 777 of the family's 1533-position model. The record is from RNAcentral.
ACGGAGGGUGCAAGCGUUAUCCGGGUUCACUGGGUUUAAAGGGUGUGUAGGCGGGUGUUUAAGUCAGUGGUGAAAUCUCCAGGCUCAACCUGGAAACUGCCAUUGAUACUAUUCAUCUUGAAUUCUGUUGAGGUGGGCGGAAUAUAUCAUGUAGCGGUGAAAUGCUUAGAUAUGAUAUAGAACACCGAUUGCGAAGGCAGCUCACUAAGCAGCGAUUGACGCUGAGGCACGAAAGCGUGGGGAUCAAACAGGA